This 585-nucleotide ribosomal RNA is filed under the name uncultured bacterium. RNAcentral describes it as "bacterial SSU rRNA". It matches the Rfam family "Bacterial small subunit ribosomal RNA", at positions 338 to 916 of the family's 1533-position model. The record is from RNAcentral.
CCUACGGGAGGCAGCAGUAGGGAAUCUUCCGCAAUGGACGCAAGUCUGACGGAGCAACGCCGCGUGAGUGACGAAGGUUUUCGGAUCGUAAAACUCUGUUGUGAGGGAAGAACACGUACCAACUAACUAUUGGUACCUUGACGGUACCUCACCAGAAAGCCACGGCUAACUACGUGCCAGCAGCCGCGGUAAUACGUAGGUGGCAAGCGUUGUCCGGAAUUAUUGGGCGUAAAGCGCGCGCAGGCGGUUCCUUAAGUCUGAUGUGAAAGCCCACGGCUCAACCGUGGAGGGUCAUUGGAAACUGGGGAACUUGAGUGCAGAAGAGGAAAGUGGAAUUCCACGUGUAGCGGUGAAAUGCGUAGAGAUGUGGAGGAACACCAGUGGCGAAGGCGACUUUCUGGUCUGUAACUGACGCUGAGGCGCGAAAGCGUGGGGAGCAAACAGGAUUAGAUACCCUGGUAGUCCACGCCGUAAACGAUGAGUGCUAAGUGUUAGGGGGUUUCCGCCCCUUAGUGCUGCAGCUAACGCAUUAAGCACUCCGCCUGGGGAGUACGGCCGCAAGGCUGAAACUCAAAGGAUUGACGG